UAACGGAACAACAGAAUACAGAGGAACGGCGUAAAUGUAUGUGAUGGAAUCUGCAGCAGUGAACUUUCACCUCUGAUGCUCCGGAUCUCCGCUGGUCUUCUGAUUCACCGGUGUGUGUGUGUGUGAUGAGCUCAUCAUGGGUGAAGCCUUCACACACACGAAGCUCUGCGGGAAACAUCUGCGUCUGCUGCUCUUCAUCCUCCUGCCGUGUGUGUGUGGCCUGAUCUGUGUGUGUGUGCUCCUGCUGACGCUCACAGGUA
This is a long non-coding RNA of Rhinichthys klamathensis goyatoka, 260 nucleotides long. RefSeq lists it as uncharacterized. NCBI's taxonomy places the organism in Eukaryota, Metazoa, Chordata, Actinopteri, Cypriniformes, Leuciscidae. The record is from RefSeq and is a predicted model, not a curated record. The transcript is spliced from 3 exons.